Panthera uncia (snow leopard) is the source of this 230-nucleotide long non-coding RNA. RefSeq lists it as uncharacterized. The record is from RefSeq and is a predicted model, not a curated record. NCBI's taxonomy places the organism in Eukaryota, Metazoa, Chordata, Mammalia, Carnivora, Felidae. The transcript is spliced from 2 exons.
CGGGGCCCUGAUGUGCAGCGCUCGGGAAGCAGCGAGGUGGGCGGCUCAGUCGCAGCAGCAGGUACCUUAGGGACGAGAAAAUGUAUGUAAAAGGACGUCUUGCUACAAAAGGGGUUGUGCUCAUUCCAAGACCAUGCAUUUAGAAAUUUUACUCUUACUGUAGCUAGUUGAACCGUUGCAGAGAUUAAUAAAAAAUGUUAAUCUAAAAAGAGAAAAAAAAUCAAACUUUA